This 53-nucleotide transfer RNA is filed under the name Gambierdiscus australes. Its description in RNAcentral is "partial Selenocysteine transfer RNA". The record is from RNAcentral. Lineage: Eukaryota; Dinophyceae; Gonyaulacales; Pyrocystaceae.
GCAGUGGUCAGCCGCACAGACUUCGAACCUGGUGCUGGUUGGGAUGCUCAGCG